AUUGAACGCUGGCGGCAGGCCUAACACAUGCAAGUCGAACGGUAACAGGGAUCAGCUUGCUGAUUCGCUGACGAGUGGCGGACGGGUGAGUAAUGUCUGGGAAACUGCCUGAUGGAGGGGGAUAACUACUGGAAACGGUAGCUAAUACCGCAUAACGUCGCAAGCCCAAAGAGGGGGACCUUCGGGCCUCUUGCCUUCGGAUGUGCCCAGAUGGGAUUAGCUAGUAGGUGGGGUAACGGCUCACCUAGGCGACGAUCCCUAGCUGGUCUGAGAGGAUGACCAGCCACACUGGAACUGAGACACGGUCCAGACUCCUACGGGAGGCAGCAGUAGGGAAUAUUGCACAAUGGGCGAAAGCCUGAUGCAGCCAUGCCGCGUGUAUGAAGAAGGCCUUCGGGUUGUAAAGUACUUUUAGCGGGGAGGAAGGGAGUAAAGUUAAUACCUUUGCUCAUUGACGUUACCCGCAGAAGAAGCACCGGCUAACUCCGUG
This 490-nucleotide ribosomal RNA is filed under the name uncultured bacterium. RNAcentral describes it as "partial 16S ribosomal RNA". It matches the Rfam family "Bacterial small subunit ribosomal RNA", at positions 30 to 507 of the family's 1533-position model. The record is from RNAcentral.